ACGGCACGGCACGGCACCCCCUCCAAUAACAGCCACCCGAAACAUGGCUGCGCUUGAAAGCAGCUUUCAUGCUUUCAGAGACGAAUAGCUUGCAAUGGAACCGAUCUCUCACCGGUACCUAUAAAAAAGCUCUCAUGGCCAGCACAGCACAGCAAUUCACCUUGGGCAGGAUCCUGCAGACCACCACAAGGCCAACGGGAUGGGCGAAAUUGCAAUUCUGAAUCUGUUUCUUUUAAAUUUACUCAGUCUGCCAGCCCCCUGCAAGUAACUUCAAGGCUUCAGUGUGAAUUUCUGACUCCUUUUCUACAUGUAAGGCACUGACAUUACAUCAACCUUCAAACAUAUCUCGUGUGUAAACCAAUUAAUUCUUACAGCAAGGCAUCACUUGGUAACCACAAAUCUUAUGCUCUUUUUAUUAUUUUUUCGCCUGAUCUCAGCCAUGACAAAUAAAACUGCAAAACUUG
Lagopus leucura (white-tailed ptarmigan) is the source of this 464-nucleotide long non-coding RNA. RefSeq lists it as uncharacterized. The record is from RefSeq and is a predicted model, not a curated record. NCBI's taxonomy places the organism in Eukaryota, Metazoa, Chordata, Aves, Galliformes, Phasianidae. The transcript has 2 exons.